This 503-nucleotide ribosomal RNA is filed under the name uncultured bacterium. RNAcentral's name for it is "partial 16S ribosomal RNA". It matches the Rfam family "Bacterial small subunit ribosomal RNA", at positions 30 to 523 of the family's 1533-position model. The record is from RNAcentral.
AUUGAACGCUGGCGGCAGGCUUAACACAUGCAAGUCGAGCGGAGUGAUGGUGCUUGCACUAUCACUUAGCGGCGGACGGGUGAGUAAUGCUUAGGAAUCUGCCUAUUAGUGGGGGACAACAUCUCGAAAGGGAUGCUAAUACCGCAUACGUCCUACGGGAGAAAGCAGGGGAUCACUUGUGACCUUGCGCUAAUAGAUGAGCCUAAGUCGGAUUAACUAGUUGGUGGGGUAAAGGCCUACCAAGGCGACGAUCUGUAGCGGGUCUGAGAGGAUGAUCCGCCACACUGGGACUGAGACACGGCCCAGACUCCUACGGGAGGCAGCAGUGGGGAAUAUUAGACAAUGGGGGGAACCCUGAUCCAGCCAUGCCGCGUGUGUGAAGAAGGCCUUAUGGUUGUAAAGCACUUUAAGCUAGGAGGAGGCUCUUUUGGUUAAUACCCAAGAUGAGUGGACGUUACUCGCAGAAUAAGCACCGGCUAACUCUGUGCCAGCAGCCGCAGUAA